Molecule: RNA transcript, 3265 nt
Organism: Apis mellifera (honey bee)
Lineage: Eukaryota; Metazoa; Arthropoda; Insecta; Hymenoptera; Apidae
Exons: 3
Source: RefSeq, a predicted model, not a curated record
AUUUAUGUAAAGAUAAAAUAAAAAAGAUUCAACAGAAUCGGUAUUUUCAAAUCCCGAAAGUUCAACGGAAUCGUUCAGAAAAAAAGGAAGGAUUGAUAGAAUUUUGCAGAAAAGGAGAACGAAUCGCAAGAGAAAGCGUGCGAACAACCCUUCGAAACAAUUCGACCCGUCCCCUACGGCUGCCUCGAGAAAGUUGACGUUGACCAUAAAAAUUUCACCGUUUUUAAAAAAAGACAGGGUUGAAAAGAAAGCCCCCCCCCUUUCAUCUCUGACUUUCCUUUUUUUUUUUCCUCUUUCGUUGCAAGAUCUUCUUUCCAAGGGAAUAUUUCUCGCUCGAUGAACGAGAGAAGCCUUUCCCUUCCGUCAACUAUCUUGAUCGUGAAAGAAAGUUUCUCUCCUUUAAUCUCCCCGGCCAGUUCGCGUUUUCUAAACGACGCGAAGCGACGUACCUCGUUUUCAACCUCUCGCUCCGUGAUUCUCUAUCUCUAUCUCUCUCACUCUCUCUCCGGGACACUUGUCAUGCAAUUGCGCAUUACGUCGGUCGAAAUAAAAGUACUCAGUCAGAGAUGGUAAUCGCACGAGAUGUACGCGAAAGCGCGACACGCGAGUGAUUACGUGUGCCAGUGCCGUUUUCGAGGAUGAAGCUGUGCGUAAUUUGAAUUAUUAGCGAGCCGUCGCGCAGGAAUUUUUUUCAAACGGUUUCAACAAAGAUAAGAAGCUUGAAAUUUUUUCCCCCGCUUGUUAAAGGAAUUGAUAUUCUUCUUGAGAUUUAAGGAUAAAAGUGACUCGCGCGUUACAUUUUUUUUAUAAAUACAAAUAUUUUCUAUUUAAAACAGAUUAAGAAAAAUUAUUCAAAGAUUCUGAAUAAUUUCUUUUUUCGAUUCUCGUAUUUUAUUAUUUAUAUUUUCGUAUUCGAUUUUUCUCGAGCAACUCGCUCGAUCCAACGGCGUGCAUUUCCAGCUUGAUCCUCCCCUCCCCCAAGCUUUCCAGCCACCGCACCGCCUCUCAGUCCCCGAGCGAAUACCACACCAUUGUCCGCGCCAUGCUCGAAACAGGGCCUGACCCGUAAAUCACGAUUCGCUGAAGUGCGUGCUCGAGUUGUCGGGCUUGCAGGGUGUCUCUUCUCGAGCGUCUGAAAAAAUUCUUCUCGAACAUUGACCAGACACCACGGGGAAAUCUCUCGAUGACACAUCGUUUGACAUUUUACAGAAACGAAACUUUUCAAUCGUUUUUUAAUUUAAUUCUCAACCGGUGAUUGGUGAUUCGAGGAGAGUUAAAAUUUUAUAAAUUUUAUAAAUAUGAAUACAAUUUUUUUAAAUUUCUUUAAAAAUUUUUAAUCGUAGAAUUUACUUGCCUGAUAUAUAAGAUUCUAUAACUAUUCUGAAAUUAAUUUAGAUAAUUAUCAAAUUCUCCUCGACCAAAGAUAUUUCAAUCUCAUUUUCGAAUCACGAGAAAUCGUAAAUUAAUAACGUGUAUUUAUCCGUGAUCGUAACUUUUGUGUUAUUCGUGCGUGAACGUAGCCGAAUGUGGAGAGAAAAAUGGCCGGUUAAUUAACCGCGGCAACCGCGUUGCGAAAUCGAAGAACGCGAAACGAGAAAGGGUCUACGUUUUGUCGAUAUUUCUCUGCGGGAGAAACGCAUCCGUCCGACCGAUGGCGUAACGAUCGAUCGGUCGAGCGCAGCCAUCGACCGCUAUCCUUUCGCGAAACGUAAAUAUUUAACAGUGGUGAUCGAUUGGAAAAGUGAUCGCGAGGACGAAACUAGUUGUUGUAAACGUAAUUAAUUUGCAAGCUUAAUCGAUAUUCUAAAACAUAUUUAACAGUUUUUUUCUCGAAUUCGACGACGUCAAAUUAGAAUAGUUUCUAACCUAAAAAUAAUCAUUCGUGAAACAUGUGUGUGUGUUUGUGUCUGUGCUAAAGUGAAAUUGAUAUUCGAUCGACGUUUUCGACGCUAAUUUUUAAUUGAUACAACAAAAUUAACGGGAAAUUUAAAAGUUUUUCGAAAAAGUUUUUAUUAGAUAGUUGUUAACGUUCAAAUGAGCCGUUGAGACGUGAAUAACGUAUCUUCAUUUCGCUUUUAUUUCGAUAUCAAUGUUUGCGCAGUAAAUUUAAUUCAAUUUUAUCAAAAUAACAUUUUUUCUCGAAAGAAUCUUGAAACAUUCCUCGAAAAAUCUCAUAAUACGAAUAAAUAUUACACGUAUUAAUGUGAUUUACGAGGAGUUUAAUAGAUUUCAAUUUGCUUUUUUUUUUCUUGUUUAUAUUUUUUCCUUAUCUUUUUUAUUAAUUCUUCGCUUAAUUCUGCAUUUAUUUUCAUAAACUAUCCCCGUAUUCUAAAUUUAUUACUCGUACUCUCAAUAACUAAUUGUUGUUGACAAUAACAAUACUCGAUAUUAAAAACGCGCAAAUGAAAAUAAUCUUAAACUUUUUUCGAACGAUCAAUUAAUUACAUUUGAUACGAAAUGUGUUGUUACAAUGUAUUUCGAGUGAAAAUUAUCAUCGUGACAAUUAUGUGUAUAAAAUUAAAUAUAAAAAACGAUACGUUUAACGCAAUUUAACGCAGUUUUAACGCGGUUCUAGCUCUCUAUGUAUCUACAUUUUUACUAUAUUUUUAAUUACGAGAUAAACAUCACAAUCGUUUCGCAUCUGCAUGCAUCAGCCCGAGAACUCCUUUCUUCGUUCUCACGAUUGCAUCGUCGUUAUGCCUUUUCAUUUCUUAUCUUUUUCUUCUCUUCUCGUUUUAUUUUUUUAUUUUUUUAUUCGAUUUAAAAACAAAUGAUAAUCGCGCAAAGACACGCGCGAUAUCUUAACGCGGCCGCAAAUAAUACGUAAUACGGUUUAUGCCCAUAAUCAACGUUUCAUAAUGGCACUUAAGCAUCCACUUGUUGAUACCAUUUAUGACCAUUGUGUAUGGUGGUACAUGUGUAAAACAGUCGCACGUCUACCACGCCACCGGCACGCACCCGCGUCAAAACUCUAACGUUAAUAUGACGUACACACGCACGCGGUUUGCGAAUGCUAUCUGAUCAAAAAAAUGAUCGUCUAACGUAUUUGUGAAAAAUGUGUGAUGUCGAGUGAAAAUGUGUGUGUGUGUGGUGUUAGUGAACUGAUGACUAAAUAUUUCAAAUGCGGGAUUAAAUGUACGCGCGUAGCGGAAUCUCGGUCGGUAAUUCUGACAUAAGGGCAAUCCUCAAGGAAUCGGUAACUAAGCCGCUCUUACGGUCGCAGCACAAACUAGAUUGGCAAUUCUGAAAUGAAAAAACUUUUUUU